AUUGAACGCUGGCGGCAUGCCUUACACAUGCAAGUCGAACGGCAGCACGGGAGCAAUCCUGGUGGCGAGUGGCGAACGGGUGAGUAAAGUAUCGGAACGUGCCCAGUCGUGGGGGAUAACGUAGCGAAAGUUACGCUAAUACCGCAUACGAUCUAUGGAUGAAAGCGGGGGAUCGCAAGACCUCGCGCGAUUGGAGCGGCCGAUAACAGAUUAGGUAGGUGGUGGGGUAAAGGCUCACCAAGCCGACGAUCUGUAGCCGGUCUGAGAGGAAGACCAGCCACACUGAGGUUGAGACACGGCCCAGCCUCCUACGGGAGGCAGACGUGGGGAAUUUUGGAUAAUGGGCGAAAGCCUGAUCCAGCCAUGCCGCGUGCAGGAUGAAGGCCUUCGGGUUGUAAACUGCUUUUGUACGGAACGAAAAGGUUUGGGCUAAUAAGCUGAGCUCAUGACGGUACCGUAAGAAUAAGCACCGGCUAACUACGUGCCAGCCGCCGCUGUAA
RNAcentral lists this ribosomal RNA (500 nucleotides) under uncultured bacterium. Its description in RNAcentral is "partial 16S ribosomal RNA". It matches the Rfam family "Bacterial small subunit ribosomal RNA", at positions 30 to 523 of the family's 1533-position model. The record is from RNAcentral.